CACCGCUGUUAUACGAAAGACUCCAGUAGAUAGAUACGGCGUAAAGGGUGGUUAGGAUAACAACAAAAUAAAGCUAAAGACUUACCAAGCCGUCAUACGCCCACGGAAGGCCGAAAAUCACAAACGAAAGUAACUUUAUUAUAUCAUCCGAACCCACGAAAGCUAAGAAA
This 170-nucleotide ribosomal RNA is filed under the name Loricariichthys castaneus. RNAcentral's name for it is "partial small subunit ribosomal RNA". Lineage: Eukaryota; Metazoa; Chordata; Actinopteri; Siluriformes; Loricariidae. The record is from RNAcentral.